GUGCCAGCCGCCGCGGUAAUACGGAGGGGGCGAGCGUUGUUCGGAAUCACUGGGCGUAAAGGGCGCGCAGGCGGUCGGUCGCGUCAGGUGUGAAAGCCCCGGGCUCAACCUGGGAGGUGCACUUGAUACGGGCCGGCUCGAGAACGGGAGAGGAGUGUGGAAUUCCCAGUGUAGAGGUGAAAUUCGUAGAUAUUGGGAAGAACACCAGUGGCGAAGGCGACACUCUGGCCCGGUUCUGACGCUGAGGCGCGAAAGCGUGGGGAGCAAACAGGAUUAGAUACCCUGGUAGUCCACGCCGUAAACGAUGUGCGCUAGCCGUCGGGCGGCAUGCCGUUCGGUGGCGUAAGCCAACGCGUUAAGCGCACCGCCUGGGGAGUACGGCCGCAAGGUUAAAACUUAAAGGAAUUGGCGGGG
RNAcentral lists this ribosomal RNA (414 nucleotides) under uncultured prokaryote. RNAcentral describes it as "bacterial SSU rRNA". It matches the Rfam family "Bacterial small subunit ribosomal RNA", at positions 505 to 918 of the family's 1533-position model. The record is from RNAcentral.